CCACGCUCUGCCUCUCAACUAUUCUGCCUGCAAACUUCGAAAAGCCCCAAAUUAAAACACAAAGCCUCUACAGAAGAAAGUGUAAAUCGACCGUAAUCCAUAAUUCUUUGCAAGAAGAAAACAUAUCUUAAGAAAAUAUUUGAAAAGACAUAGCAUCAAGGCCAUAAAAUUUGUAAGAUAUAAUCACAGCUUUUAUCGAUGUUAUGCACCUGUUGCACCAGUCAAAGUAAACCCCGACCCCACCCCCACCCC
This is a non-coding RNA of Paramuricea clavata, 252 nucleotides long. The record is from the annotation of a GenBank genome assembly. NCBI's taxonomy places the organism in Eukaryota, Metazoa, Cnidaria, Anthozoa, Malacalcyonacea, Plexauridae.